Molecule: small RNA, 374 nt
Filed under: uncultured Saccharofermentans sp.
Lineage: Bacteria; Bacillati; Bacillota; Clostridia; Eubacteriales; Oscillospiraceae
Description: transfer-messenger RNA
Rfam family: transfer-messenger RNA
About the family: Bacterial tmRNA, also known as 10Sa RNA or SsrA, is named for its dual tRNA and mRNA-like properties. Its role is to liberate the mRNA from a stalled ribosome.
Source: RNAcentral
GGGGGUGUACCGGUUUCGACGGGGUCGUUGAUACUGAGAAAGCGGGUGGAGGAUUCUCGUUGGCCUCCUUAAAAAACGGGAAACGCAAGUAAUUGCAAACGACACACAGCUCGUAGCUGCUUAAUCUAGCUACCGUCUUCUUCGGACUUCUGCCACCUUAGAAAGACGUUAACCGGCAGACCUUACCCGGGAGAGGUUAAACGGGACAACCUCAUAGGCAAAGCUUUGAGCCUCUGUUGUAUCUAUGAAGCUACCGGCGGUCAUACCUGACAGCGGGUUCUGAUCAAAGGGAAAUCCUUAAACACUGUCUGCACCCGGAGACGUCUCAGAGGAUACGGUUUCGGACAGGGGUUCAACUCCCCUCAUCUCCACCA